Molecule: ribosomal RNA, 483 nt
Filed under: Salmonella enterica subsp. enterica serovar Corvallis
Lineage: Bacteria; Pseudomonadati; Pseudomonadota; Gammaproteobacteria; Enterobacterales; Enterobacteriaceae
Description: partial 23S ribosomal RNA
Rfam family: Bacterial large subunit ribosomal RNA
Source: RNAcentral
CAUAGGUUAAUGAGGCGAACCGGGGGAACUGAAACAUCUAAGUACCCCGAGGAAAAGAAAUCAACCGAGAUUCCCCCAGUAGCGGCGAGCGAACGGGGAGGAGCCCAGAGCCUGAAUCAGCAUGUGUGUUAGUGGAAGCGUCUGGAAAGGCGCGCGAUACAGGGUGACAGCCCCGUACACAAAAGCGCAUGUGCUGUGAGCUCGAUGAGUAGGGCGGGACACGUGGUAUCCUGUCUGAAUAUGGGGGGACCAUCCUCCAAGGCUAAAUACUCCUGACUGACCGAUAGUGAACCAGUACCGUGAGGGAAAGGCGAAAAGAACCCCGGCGAGGGGAGUGAAAAAGAACCUGAAACCGUGUACGUACAAGCAGUGGGAGCCCCACCACUAAGCCAGUGGUGAACUCCACAUACGCAUCCUUUGCUGAGGAUACGGUUAACGGAGCGAAAGCGACGUUCAACCUCAAAAGAAGCAGAGGGGGCUUAG